Molecule: ribosomal RNA, 253 nt
Filed under: uncultured bacterium
Lineage: Bacteria
Description: partial 16S ribosomal RNA
Rfam family: Bacterial small subunit ribosomal RNA
Source: RNAcentral
UACAUGGGGUGCAAACGUUGCUCGGAAUUAUUGGGCGUAAAGCGCACGUAGGCGGUCCGUUAAGUCAGAUGUGAAAGCCCCCGGCUCAACCGGGGAAGUGCAUCUGAAACUGGCGGGCUAGAGUACGAAAGAGGGUCGCGGAAUUCCCGGUGUAGAGGUGAAAUUCGUAGAUAUCGGGAGGAACACCGGUGGCGAAGGCGGCGACCUGGGUCGAUACUGACGCUGAGGUGCGAAAGCUAGGGGAGCGAACGGG